Molecule: small RNA, 94 nt
Filed under: uncultured Ketobacter sp.
Lineage: Bacteria; Pseudomonadati; Pseudomonadota; Gammaproteobacteria; Pseudomonadales; Ketobacteraceae
Description: t44 RNA
Rfam family: t44 RNA
About the family: This family consists of a number of bacterial RNA genes of between 135 and 170 bases in length. The t44 gene is found between the map and rpsB genes in all species in the full alignment apart from Shigella flexneri.
Source: RNAcentral
ACCCUAAACCACACAUGUUCCGUCACAUGCAUCAGGGUGCCCUUGGUAACGAUCCGUUGCCGGGGUUGAUUCAUGGGGAACAUGGAGGCUUAAC